Molecule: ribosomal RNA, 462 nt
Filed under: uncultured bacterium
Lineage: Bacteria
Description: partial 16S ribosomal RNA
Rfam family: Bacterial small subunit ribosomal RNA
Source: RNAcentral
GACGAACGCUGGCGGCGUGCCUAACACAUGCAAGUCGAACGGAAAGGCCCUUCGGGGUACUCGAGUGGCGAACGGGUGAGUAACACGUGGGUGAUCUGCCCUGCACUCUGGGAUAAGCCUGGGAAACUGGGUCUAAUACCGAAUAGGACCACGCGCUUCAUGGUGUGUGGUGGCAAGCGUUUGCGGUGUGGGUUGGGCCCGUGGCCUAUCAGCUUGUUGGUGGGGUAUUGGCCUACCAAGGCGACGACGGGCAGCCGACCUGCGAGGGUGACCGGCCACGCUGGGACUGAGAUACGGCCCAGACUCCAACGGGAGGCAGGAGUGGAGAAUAUUACACAAUGGGCGCAAGCCUAAUGCAGCGACGCCGCGUGGGGGAAGACGGGCUUCGGGUUGUAAACCUCUUUCAAUUGAGACGAGGCGCAAGUGACGGUACCUAGAGAAGAAGCACCGGCCAACUACGUG